Molecule: non-coding RNA, 179 nt
Filed under: Eubacteriales bacterium
Lineage: Bacteria; Bacillati; Bacillota; Clostridia; Eubacteriales
Description: 6S RNA
Rfam family: 6S / SsrS RNA
About the family: E. coli 6S RNA was the first non coding RNA to be sequenced, but its function was unknown until recently.
Source: RNAcentral
UAAUUCCUGGAAUGCUCGACAACCUUACCAAUUUUGAACCUACAUUUGUGACAUCGGGAUUCCAAUAUUUGUGAGUGGAUGUCAGGCCUCCUUUUGAGUGGAAGGCAGAAGCUUACGUGAGGUUGCCCACCUAGCAACAGCUAGGCGUCAAUAAGUAAGACCGACAUUUUGGGAUUACA